GCGCCUUUAGCUCAGUUGGUAGAGCAGCUGACUCUUAAUCAGCGGGCCCUGGGUUCGAGUCCCUGAAGGCGCACCA
Molecule: transfer RNA, 76 nt
Filed under: Papillibacter cinnamivorans DSM 12816
Lineage: Bacteria; Bacillati; Bacillota; Clostridia; Eubacteriales; Oscillospiraceae
Description: tRNA_Lys_CTT
Rfam family: tRNA
About the family: Transfer RNA (tRNA) molecules are approximately 80 nucleotides in length. Their secondary structure includes four short double-helical elements and three loops (D, anti-codon, and T loops).
Source: RNAcentral